UACGUAGGGUGCAAGCGGUAAUCGGAAUUACUGGGCGUAAAGCGUACGCAGGCGGCUUUGCAAGACAGGUGUGAAAUCCCCGGGCCUAACCUGGGAACUGCAUUUGUGACUGCAUGGCUAGAGUUUGUCAGAGGGGGGUGGAAUUCCACGUGUAGCAGUGAAAUGCGUAGAUAUGUGGAGGAACACCGAUGGCGAAGGCAGCCCCCUGGGAUGUGACUGACGCUCAUGUACGAAAGCGUGGGGAGCAAACAGG
This 253-nucleotide ribosomal RNA is filed under the name uncultured bacterium. RNAcentral describes it as "partial 16S ribosomal RNA". It matches the Rfam family "Bacterial small subunit ribosomal RNA", at positions 524 to 776 of the family's 1533-position model. The record is from RNAcentral.